UACUUAGGGAUUUGCCUUUUGGAGGGGGAUAACCAUUGGAAACGAUGGCUAAUACCGCAUAACGUCUGAGGACCAAAGUGGGCGCUUGCGCUCACGCCGAGAGAGAAACCUAAGCGAGAUUAGCUAGUUGGUGUGGUAAAGGCGCACCAAGGCGACGAUCUCUAGCUGUUCUGAGAGGAAGAUCAGCCACACUGGGACUGAGACACGGCCCAGACUCCUACGGGAGGCAGCAGUGGGGAAUAUUGCACAAUGGGGGCAACCCUGAUGCAGCCAUGCCGCGUGUGUGAAGAAGGCCUGGGU
RNAcentral lists this ribosomal RNA (300 nucleotides) under uncultured Glaciecola sp. Its description in RNAcentral is "bacterial SSU rRNA". It matches the Rfam family "Bacterial small subunit ribosomal RNA", at positions 114 to 423 of the family's 1533-position model. Lineage: Bacteria; Pseudomonadati; Pseudomonadota; Gammaproteobacteria; Alteromonadales; Alteromonadaceae. The record is from RNAcentral.